This 492-nucleotide ribosomal RNA is filed under the name uncultured bacterium. RNAcentral's name for it is "partial 16S ribosomal RNA". It matches the Rfam family "Bacterial small subunit ribosomal RNA", at positions 29 to 507 of the family's 1533-position model. The record is from RNAcentral.
AGUGAACGCUGGCGGUAGGCCUAACACAUGCAAGUCGAACGGCAGCACAGUAAGAGCUUGCUCUUACGGGUGGCGAGUGGCGGACGGGUGAGGAAUACAUCGGAAUCUACUUUUUCGUGGGGGAUAACGUAGGGAAACUUACGCUAAUACCGCAUACGACCUACGGGUGAAAGCAGGGGAUCUUCGGACCUUGCGCGAUUGAAUGAGCCGAUGUCGGAUUAGCUAGUUGGCGGGGUAAAGGCCCACCAAGGCGACGAUCCGUAGCUGGUCUGAGAGGAUGAUCAGCCACACUGGAACUGAGACACGGUCCAGACUCCUACGGGAGGCAGCAGUGGGGAAUAUUGGACAAUGGGGGCAAGCCUGAUCCAGCCAUACCGCGUGGGUGAAGAAGGCCUUCGGGUUGUAAAGCCCCUUUGUUGGGAAAGAAAAGCAGCAGGUUAAUACCCCGCUGUUCUGACGGUACCCAAAGAAUAAGCACCGGCUAACUUCGUG